Molecule: non-coding RNA, 30 nt
Filed under: Rattus norvegicus (Norway rat)
Lineage: Eukaryota; Metazoa; Chordata; Mammalia; Rodentia; Muridae
Source: RNAcentral
UUGGUUUUGUUCUAGAAACGUCUGCUGUUC